RNAcentral lists this ribosomal RNA (1131 nucleotides) under Triticum aestivum (bread wheat). Its description in RNAcentral is "partial small subunit ribosomal RNA". Lineage: Eukaryota; Viridiplantae; Streptophyta; Magnoliopsida; Poales; Poaceae. The record is from RNAcentral.
AUGACUAUAAGGAACCAACGAUUCUCUCUUCUUAAACAACCUAUAUACUCCACACUUAACCAGCAUUUGAUAGAUUAUCCAACCCCGAGCAAUCUUAGUUAUUGGUGGGGGUUCGGUUCGUUAGCAGGUAUUUGUUUAGUCAUUCAGAUAGUGACUGGCAUUUUUUUAGCUAUGCAUCACACACCUCAUGUGGAUCUAGCUUUCAACGGCGUAGAACACAUUAUGAGAGAUGUUGAAGGGGGCUGGUUGCUCCGUUAUAUGCAUGCUAAUGGGGCAAGUAUGUUUCUCAUUGUGGUUCACCUUCAUAUUUUUCGUGAUCUAUAUCAUGCGAGUUAUAGCAGUCCUAGGGAAUUUGUUCGGUGUCUCGGAGUUGUCAUAUUCCUAUUAAUGAUUGUGACAGCUUUUAUAGGAUACGUACCACCUUGGGGUCAGAUGAGCUUUUGGGGAGCAACAGUAAUUACAAGCUUAGCUAGCGCCAUACCAGUAGUAGGAGAUACCAUAGUGACUUGGCUUUGGGGUGGUUUCUCCGUGGACAAUGCCACCUUAAAUCGUUUUUUUAGUCUCCAUCAUUUACUCCCCCUUAUUUUAGUAGGCGCCAGUCUUCUUCAUCUGGCUGCAUUGCAUCAAUAUGGAUCAAAUAAUCCACUGGGUGUACAUUCUGAGAUGGAUAAAAUUGCUUCUUACCCUUAUUUUUAUGUAAAGGAUCUUGUAGGCCGGGUAGCUUCUGCUAUCUUUUUUUCCAUUUGGAUUUUUUUUGCUCCUAAUGUUUUGGGGCAUCCCGACAAUUAUAUACCUGCUAAUCCGAUGCCCACCCCGCCUCAUAUUGUGCCGGAAUGGUAUUUCCUACCGAUCCAUGCCAUUCUUCGCAGAAUACCUGACAAAGCGGGAGAAAUGUAUGUGCGUAGUUCAAGUUUUCGACCGAUUCACCAAGGAAUAUUUUGGUUGCUUUUGGCGGAUUGCUUACUACUAGGUUGGAUCGGAUGUCAACCUGUGGAGGCACCAAUUGUUACUAUUGGACAAAUUCCUUCUGUCUUUUUCUUCUUGUUCUUUGCCAUAACGCCCAUCCGGGACGAGUUGGAAGAGGAAUUCCAAAAUAUGACACGGAUGAGACUCAUCGCACCGGAUCCUUAG